CAAUUACUACUAAACUUCAAUCAUCUUUACUCCACCAUAAAUCUUACAUGCAACUAAUCAUGUAGGACACACAAAAUUUUUACUCCAGGAUAAAAUUUGUGCGCAGACACAAAAAAAUCACAUGUGAGUGCAAAUCUUGGGAGGAGUCUAGCUGCGUGAAAGAAGUACCAGCCUGCAAACAAGAACAAAGGCAGUCUAAAUACUCAGGUACCAGGAAAUCAACCCAGAAAACCAACUCAAUCAAUUUAUGUACUGGAUCAUAUGCCAACACAUUUUCAUAGAUCCCUAUUAAAUACUGGUGCCAUCAUCUCCACAAACCGGGAAAAAAAAUUCUAAGAGACCUGGUCUUUUUUACACUGUCCAAGGAAUGCCACGUCUCAACACGAAUCACAAAGCACCCUGGGUCUUGGGUCUUCUUCCUCGGACAACGACUUCGUUCUUUUUCCCUGAUGGAAUCUUCCAGUUUAUUGCUUGGUCAGUACUCAGUAGUUAGUAGCAUCCUUCACGAGUAAUACCCCGACACGCCAUCUCACACAGCUCCAUCCUCCCCUCAGAUCUAGAAGUACUUCGAUCCCCAAAGCUCUUAGCUCGUUAUGUCAUGGCCCUCAUGCAUCCUUUCCUCUCACGAAACUCCUCAGCUAAAAAAUAAAAAAUUAGUCUGUUUGUCUACGUACUUGUUUAAAUCAAUUUGACAGAUCAACAAUUAAAUGGUCUUAUCUUAAGCAGUUUAAUUGAUCGAUCUGCACAUGUGAUUGUGAUUAAUUAGUAGCUGCGAUAAGCUAAUACAGACAUACAGCAGGCCACGGAGUAAAGCAGCAUGCGCAGGAAGGCCUUCCCUCGGCCGGCAUGGGGGCUCAGCCUCUACAUGCGUUAGUGGAGAACAUGGCAGCCGUAAUUUUGACAAGGAUGAGAAGCAGCCGGCUACAGAAUUAUUUUCCAAACCCACAAACCCGUGUGAGUUGCAACCUCCAUAAACAGAAUGGCCUUGUUGUUCACUGAAGAGGGAGAGUAGCAGUAGCUAUACCUGGUGCGGCACUGCGACUCUGUGGAUUGUUCGAGUCCUCAUCGGCGUUGACCACAUCCGAAACCUAGACGGCCAUGUGUUUAUGAAGCCCGUGUACACCAUCCUGCUCACACCGCUGGCGCGGCGAGCUCGGCGGUUGGGGAGAGGAGGACUCGGCCACGAGGUGGUAGAGGAACGGGAAGGCAUCGCCGCUGGCGGCGGAGGUGUGGUCCACCUAGCCCUCCAUCGAUUUUCUCCCCUGGACCCUGCUUGCUUUGGACCUGGGACUGGGAGCUGAAGACCAGAGGACUGAGACAAAGAAAUAAGCGGAGGCCGCGUCGUCGCAGAUUGGCGGGGAGUGUCGCAACGUGGAGGUGGUCCACUGGAGACGGGCACGGCGGCAUGGCCGGUCAAGAAGCGGAGAUGCAGUAACAACGAGCGACGGCUGUGCAGAUGUUGAUUGCGCUGCAGAUAUUGAUUUCGACCAGCCAAGUCUGCCUCCCCUGCUACCUCGAUCAGCCGCGCUGCCUUCAUACGUCGCCGCCGCCGCACGUCGUUCCAGGAGAGAGGAUCAAGGAGAGAAAUUAUGCAGGCUUAGAAGAGAGAAGAAACUGGUACCUCGCUUCCACCGUCCGCCGAUGCUCGACACUUGAUUUCUCACGCCGCAACAGAAGAAGAGACGAGAUGGCGGACAGAAUAGGGUUUCUUCGGUGUACUCAUUGUGCCCAUCUGAGCGGUGCUCCUGGAGAUGCUCCGUAUCAUGGCAUCAUCUCCUGCUCUCCCAUCAAAGGAGAAAUUUCCGCUGGCGUCCAAGGGCGCGGGGGACAGGAUAGAUUACCGCAUGAUUGACGUGAAUUGAGAUUGAUUACCAAAGAAAGGGAUUAAUUACCAUACAGAAAUUGAUUGUUUUGCCAAAUAUGGACCGAAAGAAAAACUGAUCGAGGGGUGAGGGAUAGCGAACGGAAAGGGAUGGAUGAAGAGUGUCGGACGUAAGACGGACGGAACCUUACGGUUCUUUUAAGUAGUAGAGAUUUCCAAAAUUUUUAAGAACUUUGGGAAUUAUUAGAAUUCAA
This 2076-nucleotide long non-coding RNA is filed under the name Triticum aestivum (bread wheat). RNAcentral describes it as "long non-coding RNA (TAES_LNC003844)". Lineage: Eukaryota; Viridiplantae; Streptophyta; Magnoliopsida; Poales; Poaceae. The record is from RNAcentral.